GGUUCCGUGGUCUAGUUGGUUACGACGUCUGCUUCACAUGCGAUAGCCUAGAAUCGCAGAAGGUCCUGGGUUCGAGCCCCAGCGGAGCCA
Molecule: transfer RNA, 90 nt
Filed under: Grosmannia clavigera kw1407
Lineage: Eukaryota; Fungi; Ascomycota; Sordariomycetes; Ophiostomatales; Ophiostomataceae
Rfam family: tRNA
About the family: Transfer RNA (tRNA) molecules are approximately 80 nucleotides in length. Their secondary structure includes four short double-helical elements and three loops (D, anti-codon, and T loops).
Source: Rfam by way of RNAcentral